RNAcentral lists this ribosomal RNA (253 nucleotides) under uncultured bacterium. RNAcentral describes it as "partial 16S ribosomal RNA". It matches the Rfam family "Bacterial small subunit ribosomal RNA", at positions 524 to 776 of the family's 1533-position model. The record is from RNAcentral.
UACGUAGGGUGCGAGCGUUAAUCGGAAUUACUGGGCGUAAAGCGUGCGCAGGCGGUUUUGUAAGCCAGAUGUGAAAUCCCCGGGCUUAACCUGGGAAUGGCAUUUGGGACUGCAAGGCUGGAGUGUGGCAGAGGAGACUGGAAUUCCUGGUGUAGCAGUGAAAUGCGUAGAUAUCUGGAGGAACACCGGUGGCGAAGGCGGCAUCCUGGACCAACACUGACACUGAUGAGCGAAAGCCAGGGGAGCAAACGGG